This 851-nucleotide ribosomal RNA is filed under the name uncultured Hyphomicrobiales bacterium. RNAcentral's name for it is "bacterial SSU rRNA". It matches the Rfam family "Bacterial small subunit ribosomal RNA", at positions 676 to 1499 of the family's 1533-position model. Lineage: Bacteria; Pseudomonadati; Pseudomonadota; Alphaproteobacteria; Hyphomicrobiales. The record is from RNAcentral.
UUCCCUCUUUUGUUCCCCCUUCCCUGCCCAGUUCUAUGUUCUCCUCCCGUUAUCGUAACUCUUUUUAUCGCGAAAACCUCGUGCGCAAGCGGCUUCUUCUCCCGCACUUUNGUGUACCCCCCACAACCGGUGAGAACAACAGAUUAACUUCUUGGGUUUCCCUCUUACAGAUGGCUGCUACCCCUUGGGAACCUUUUUUUCAGGGGGGAGCCAACCCUUUAAGCAUCCCCCUGGGGAGUUCGUUGCAAGAUUAAACUUAAAGAAUUUUANGGGGGCCCACAAAGGGGGGACCAUGUGUUUAAUUGGAAGCAACGCGCAGAACCUUACCAGCUUUUACAUUUUCCUGGACGGAUCGCAGAGAUGUGUUCUUCCCUUCGGGGCCGGGAACACAGGUGCUGCAUGGCUGUCGUCAGCUCGUGUCGUGAGAUGUUGGGUUAAGUCCCGCAAGGAGCGCAACCCUCGCCCUUAGUUGCCAUCAUUCAGUUGGGCACUCCAGGGGGACUGCCGGUGAUAAGCCGGAGGAAGGUGGGGAUGACGUCAAGUCCUCAUGGCCCUUACAGGCUGGGCUACACACGUGCUACAAUGGCGGUGACAGCGGGAGGCGAAGGGGCGACCCUGAGCAAAUCUCGAAAAGCCGUCUCAGUUCGGAUUGCGCUCUGCAACUCGAGCGCAUGAAGUUGGAAUCGCUAGUAAUCGCGGAUCAGCACGCCGCGGUGAAUACGUUCCCGGGCCUUGUACACACCGCCCGUCACACCAUGGGAGUUGGCUUUACCCGAAGACGGCGCGCUAACCGCAAGGAGGCAGCCGGCCACGGUAGGGUCAGCGACUGGGGUGAAGUCGUAACAAGGUAA